This 484-nucleotide ribosomal RNA is filed under the name Burkholderia sp. 'ARUP UnID 172'. RNAcentral describes it as "bacterial SSU rRNA". It matches the Rfam family "Bacterial small subunit ribosomal RNA", at positions 27 to 506 of the family's 1533-position model. The record is from RNAcentral. Lineage: Bacteria; Pseudomonadati; Pseudomonadota; Betaproteobacteria; Burkholderiales; Burkholderiaceae.
GAUUGAACGCUGGCGGCAUGCCUUACACAUGCAAGUCGGACGGCAGCGCGGGCUUCGGCCUGGCGGCGAGUGGCGAACGGGUGAGUAAUACAUCGGAACGUGUCCUGUAGUGGGGGAUAGCCCGGCGAAAGCCGGAUUAAUACCGCAUACGAUCUACGGAGGAAAGCGGGGGAUCUUCGGACCUCGCGCUGUAGGGGCGGCCGAUGGCAGAUUAGCUAGUUGGUGGGGUAAAGGCCUACCAAGGCGACGAUCUGUAGCUGGUCUGAGAGGACGACCAGCCACACUGGGACUGAGACACGGCCCAGACUCCUACGGGAGGCAGCAGUGGGGAAUUUUGGACAAUGGGGGCAACCCUGAUCCAGCAAUGCCGCGUGUGUGAAGAAGGCCUUCGGGUUGUAAAGCACUUUUGUCCGGAAAGAAAACUUCGUCCCUAAUAUGGAUGGAGGAUGACGGUACCGGAAGAAUAAGCACCGGCUAACUACGU